RNAcentral lists this transfer RNA (63 nucleotides) under Heterocephalus glaber (naked mole-rat). It matches the Rfam family "tRNA", at positions 5 to 66 of the family's 71-position model. Rfam says of the family: Transfer RNA (tRNA) molecules are approximately 80 nucleotides in length. Their secondary structure includes four short double-helical elements and three loops (D, anti-codon, and T loops). The record is from Rfam by way of RNAcentral. Lineage: Eukaryota; Metazoa; Chordata; Mammalia; Rodentia; Bathyergidae.
GUGUAGCUCAGUGGUAGAGCAGGUGCUUAGCAUGCAUGAGGCCCUGAGUCUGAUUCCCAGCAC